UACGUAGGGUGCGAGCGUUGUCCGGAAUUAUUGGGCGUAAAGAGCUUGUAGGCGGUCUGUCGCGUCUGCUGUGAAAAUCCGGGGCUCAACCCCGGACUUGCAGUGGGUACGGGCAGACUAGAGUGUGGUAGGGGAGACUGGAAUUCCUGGUGUAGCGGUGAAAUGCGCAGAUAUCAGGAGGAACACCGAUGGCGAAGGCAGGUCUCUGGGCCACUACUGACGCUGAGGCGCGAAAGCCAGGGGAGAAAACGGG
This 253-nucleotide ribosomal RNA is filed under the name uncultured bacterium. RNAcentral's name for it is "partial 16S ribosomal RNA". It matches the Rfam family "Bacterial small subunit ribosomal RNA", at positions 524 to 776 of the family's 1533-position model. The record is from RNAcentral.